This 1516-nucleotide long non-coding RNA is filed under the name Zonotrichia albicollis (white-throated sparrow). RNAcentral describes it as "lncRNA (ENSZALG00000003071.1)". Lineage: Eukaryota; Metazoa; Chordata; Aves; Passeriformes; Passerellidae. The record is from RNAcentral.
ACCACCUGUUGUGUCCCACCUCAAUCCUACAGGGCCACCUAGAACAUGGGCCACCACCCCCAUGGCCCCUCCUUGAUCCACAGGGUCACCUAGAACAGGUGCCACCACCCCUUGUGUCCCCCUCAAUCCACAGGAUCACCUAGAACAUGGGCCACCACCCCCAUGGCCCCUCCUUGAUCCACAGGGCCACCUAGAAUGUCACCCUGUGGUCCAGGAGCCACCACCCAAUGUCCUGCCAGUCUGUAGGGUCACCUAGAAUGGCCCAUGGUCUCACAGGAGCCACCACCCCCUUGUGUCCCCCCUCAAUCCAUAGGAUCACCUACAAUGUCACCCUGUGGUCCAGGGGCCACCAUCCAAUGUCCUGCCAGUCUGUAGGGUCACCUAGAACAGUCCCAUGUCCCACAGGUGCCACCACCCCCUUGUGUCCCCCCUCAAUCCACAGAAUGAUCUAGAACAUCCCUUGGUCCCUCAGGUGCCACCACCCCCUUGUGUCCCUCCUUCAAUCCAUAGAAUGACCCAGAACGUCACCCCAUGGUGACCACUGUGUGCUGCUGGUGGCAGGGGCAAUGCAGUGGGGACACGGGGACAUGGGGACAUGAGGACAGACAGACAGACACAGGGACGUGGGACAUGGGCACAUGAGGACAGACAGACACAGGGACAUGGGGACAGACAGACAUGUGGAUGUGGGACACAGGGACAUGGGGACAGACAGACACAGGGACAUGGGGACAGACAUACACAGAGAUAUGGGGACAGACAGACACAUGGAUGUGGGACAUGGGGACAUGGGGACAGACAGACAGACACAGGGACAUGGGACACAGAGACACAGGACAUGGGGACAGACAGACAUGUGGGCAAGGGGACAUGGGGACAGAGACACAUGGACAUGGGACACAGGGACAAGGGGACACAGACAUGGGGACACAGACUUGAGGACAGAUGGACAUGGGGACAUGGGGACACAGGGACACUGACACAUGGACAUACAGACAUGAGGACAUUUGCCAUAUGGACACAUGGACACAUGGACACACAGACAUGGGGACACACGGACAUGAGGACAGAUGGACAUGGGGACACGGGCCCGAUGGACAUUGGGACACAUGGAAGUGAGGACAUUGGCCAUAUGGACAUGGGGACACAAGGACACAUGGACAAAUGGACAUUGGGACAGACAGACAUGGGGACAUCGGCCAUAUGGACGUGGGGACACAUGGACACACAGACACGGGGACACACAGACACGGGGACACACAGACAAGGGGACACAGGGGGACAUCGGCCAUAUCAACAUGGGGACACGGGGACACACAGACACAUGGACAAAUGGACAUGGGGACACACGGACAUGGGGAUAUGGGGACACAUGGAUGCAGGGACACACGGACAUUGGCCAUAUGGACAUGGGGACAAACGGACACAUGGACAUAGAGGCACAAGGACAUGGGGACAUUGGCGAUGUAGACAUUGGUACACAUGGACACACGGACAUGGGGAACACGGACAUUAG